This 962-nucleotide long non-coding RNA is filed under the name Glycine max (soybean). RNAcentral's name for it is "long non-coding RNA (GMAX_LNC001936)". The record is from RNAcentral. Lineage: Eukaryota; Viridiplantae; Streptophyta; Magnoliopsida; Fabales; Fabaceae.
CCUUUUAAAAAUAAGAUCUAAAUAUGUUUUUUAUCCCACAAAUUUGAAUCACUUUUGUUUGUGGUCUCUAGAAUUUAAAUUUAUUUCUUUUAAUUUUUCAAUUUAAAAAAAAUAAUUUUUUUGUCAUGCAAGGGGAGGUACAGAACAAGGACGUACCUCAAUAUAGGAGGAUCGCAACCCUGCUCAUCAAGAUUAUAGGCAAACCCAAAUGGACAUUGAUAGGAAGGUCAUCAUAUGAUGGUUUUGGUAUAUUUAUUUGGUAAAUACUAAAUUUGGUUUUUGAUAUUGACUUUUACUCUUUGCUUGUAGACUUCGACCAUUGCGACCGCUCAAGCAAAUAGGUGUGCCAUUAGUACACAAUUUUGUAGUCAUUACCAUUGUUCAAUUUAGAUCCUUGAGGAUGUUAAGAAUGAUUGGUGGCACAAAUUUGGGAUAAGUUGGACUGUGUGUAUUUAUUCAUUAUUAUUUUACAAAUAGUUAUUUAACUUUUUAUUAAUAAAUGUUAAUUAUUAAUUUUGUUAAUUGGGAGGACCAAACUGAUGAUUUUUUUUCCCUUAAUCAUCCCAUCAACUUUAUAUCUUCAAAUAAUUAUUUAACUUUCAUAUAUACCAACUAACAAUAUCUCUCAAUCAUUGCCUAGAACAAAGUUUCAUGGAUACUCACGAGGAGAUUCUCUAUAACAUGUUUAAGUUAUUUGGAUAUGAUAUCUCGUGGAUAUUCUCACCAAGGUGAGAAAGGCUUAUUUGGAUUGAGGCGAAGGUUAGGUUAGUCUUGUUGCUUAUUGGGAUGGUGAUGCCAUUUUUAUGUCUUCAACUCAAAACAAGACCAAUUAAUUAGGCUUCGAUUAGAGGUAGAGUAGUCCAAACUACAAGUUGUAGGUCUUAACUCAAGGUGGAAUUAGACAUGUAUAUGUAUUCACUCACAGACGCAUGUUUUAUGUAGUUCAAUAUUUUUUUAAUGCA